This is a ribosomal RNA of Sinocyclocheilus anshuiensis, 117 nucleotides long. Lineage: Eukaryota; Metazoa; Chordata; Actinopteri; Cypriniformes; Cyprinidae. The record is from Ensembl.
UGCCACAGCCAUAUCACCCUGCAGCCCAAGACUGUUUCCACACUGAAGCUAAGCAGGGUUGAGCCUGGUCGGUACUUGGAUGGGAGACCUCCUGGGAAAACUAGGUUGCUGCUGGAA